AAAAAGUAGCCUGGCAAAUUUUCAGAAAUUUAAUUUAGGGCAUAAGCUGUAUGCAAAAAAGAAAAUCCCUCAUUUAAAAUCUGGUGCAAUUUGUUAACCUCCAGAAUGACGAAUGCAGUCUUAAUUUACCUGGGUAUAUAUUCUCUGACUCCCUCCAUUGCUGUGGAACCCCACUGCUCAGGUGACAGCUGGCAAAAAAACAUCAUGACAAGCUCUUGGCACAGUGUCAACAAUAACAUGAUAACAUGUUGCCCUAUCAGAAAAAUAAACCCAAAUGAUUAGAUGACAUACAGAGGAGGAAAACACCUCCCUGCCUAUAUAGUCCUAUUUCUGAAAAUCAAAAAAGAUCAAAGUGGUAAGUCUCUAAAUUAGAAAAGGAGAAAUGCACACAUAUCCCUUUCCUGUUAUACACAGACUCCGUGGCAUCAAAACAAAAAUUUAUGGUUGCAAAGCUCCAGAGACCAGAAGUCUGAAACACUAUCAGGUUUGUCUCCUGCUGAAGCCACAGGGGAGAAUCUGUUCCAGGGCUCUCCCCUGUUUCUGGGGCUUUGCUAGUGACCUUUGGUGUUACUUGGCUUGUAGAAGCACCUUCCUGAAAUGUGCUUCAUGUUCAUGUGACAUCUGACUUCUGUGCAUGUCUGUCUCCAAAUUUCCUGUUUCUACAAUGAAGCCAGUGACAUUGGAGUGGAGCCCAUGCUGAACACCUCAUUUUAACUGGAUUACCCCUGUAAAGACUCUGUCUCCAAACAAGGUCACAUCUCCAUACUGAGAGUUAGGACUGCAACAUAUGAACUUGGGGGAGGGGACACAAUUCAAUCUAUAGCAGUACAUAUUCAUGUCAUCUGGGGUGGGAGGUUGGGUUUUGCCAUCCAAACAUAACCUGGGACUUGCCAGUGCCUUUACUCCUUGGAGAAAGUAGCUGUUGUGGCUGUGGGCCACAUCCUGAACUGUGAGGAGCCACUCAGUCCAGGAGUUAUUCUGGAGAUCCCUUCCAGCUGACCUGAGACCAGGCUCUCUUAGGUAAGCUAAUCUCAGUUAGAAAUAAAAUACCACUCCAUGUAGUUCCUACAUAAACCUUUAAGCUUCUGUGGAAAUUCCAAGGAGGAUGUGAUUCUUAGGCACAAACCUUGUUCCUCCAAUUCAGUGCCAAAUAGAAAUAUUUGUUGAUGUAAUUGUUCUUUCAUUUCCUAAUCUUCUAUACAUGUUUAGUGGAUUGCAUAAUGUCCACCUCAAAAGACACAGAUCCAACUUGUAACAACUAGUAACUAUAGAUGUGAUAUUAUUUGGAAACAGGGCCCUUGUGGAUGGAAUUAAAUUGACUCUCAGGAUGAGAUUCUCCUGUGUUUAGAGUGGGCCCUAAAUACAGUGACUGAUAUGCUUCUAUGAGGAAGGAGAAAGAGGUUAGACGUACAGGCCUCCCAACACAGGCAAGACCCGAAAUACCAAGACUGUGGAGUAAAGGAAAGUUCAUGAAGUGAAGGAUGUAAAGCCAAGAGUCUAAGUCACUCUUCUCCCAAAGUACUCUCUCAACAUGAGAUGUACAGGGGAAGUUAGGAUCAAGAAAGAAAGGAUGAAAGGAAGGAAGGGAGGGAGGGAGGGAAGGAAGGAAAGG
This 1612-nucleotide long non-coding RNA is filed under the name Marmota monax (woodchuck). The record is from RNAcentral. Lineage: Eukaryota; Metazoa; Chordata; Mammalia; Rodentia; Sciuridae.